RNAcentral lists this unclassified non-coding RNA (330 nucleotides) under soil metagenome. RNAcentral describes it as "partial contains 5.8S ribosomal RNA, internal transcribed spacer 2, and large subunit ribosomal RNA". The stretch from base 1 to 121 matches the Rfam family "5.8S ribosomal RNA", at positions 35 to 154 of the family's 154-position model. The record is from RNAcentral.
GAUGAAGAACGUAGCGAAAUGCGAUAAGUAAUGCGAAUUGCAGAAUUUCCGUGAGUCAUCGAAUCUUUGAACGCACAUUGCGCCCGCCAGUAUUCUGGCGGGCAUGCCUGUUCGAGCGUCAUUUCAACCAUCAAGCCUUCGCUUGUGUUGGGGCCCCGCGGCUGCCGCGGCCCCCUAAAUCCAGUGGCGGGCUCGUCGUCGUACCGAGCGCAGUAGACAUCCUCGCUCCGGGAACCCGACGGGUGCCGGCCGUGAAACCCCCCCCAUCAAGGUUGACCUCGGAUCAGGUAGGAAUACCCGCUGAACUUAAGCAUAUCAAUAAGCGGAGGA